Molecule: ribosomal RNA, 467 nt
Filed under: uncultured bacterium
Lineage: Bacteria
Description: partial 16S ribosomal RNA
Rfam family: Bacterial small subunit ribosomal RNA
Source: RNAcentral
ACGAACGCUGGCGGCGUGCUUAACACAUGCAAGUCGAACGGAAAGGCCCUGCUUUUGUGGGGUGCUCGAGUGGCGAACGGGUGAGUAACACGUGAGUAACCUGCCCUUGACUUUGGGAUAACUUCAGGAAACUGGGGCUAAUACCGGAUAGGAGCUCCUGCUGCAUGGUGGGGGUUGGAAAGUUUCGGCGGUUGGGGAUGGACUCGCGGCUUAUCAGCUUGUUAGUGGGGUAGUGGCUUACCAAGGCUUUGACGGGUAGCCGGCCUGAGAGGGUGACCGGCCACAUUGGGACUGAGAUACGGCCCAGACUCCUACGGGAGGCAGCAGUGGGGAAUAUUGCACAAUGGGCGGAAGCCUGAUGCAGCAACGCCGCGUGCGGGAUGACGGCCUUCGGGUUGUAAACCGCUUUCGCCUGUGACGAAGCGUGAGUGACGGUAAUGUGUAAAGAAGCACCGGCUAACUACGUG